Molecule: ribosomal RNA, 301 nt
Filed under: uncultured bacterium
Lineage: Bacteria
Description: partial 16S ribosomal RNA
Rfam family: Bacterial small subunit ribosomal RNA
Source: RNAcentral
CAGUCGCCACGGUAAUGCGUAGGUGGCAAGCGUUGUCCGGAAUUAUUGGGCGUAAAGGGCUCGCAGGCGGUUUCUUAAGUCUGAUGUGAAAGCCCCCGGCUCAACCGGGGAGGGUCAUUGAAAACUGGGAAACUUGAGUGCAGAAGAGGAGAGUGGAACUCCACGUGUAGCGGUGAAAUGCGUAGAGAUGUGGAGGAACACCAGUGGCGAAGGCGACUCUCUGGUCUGUAACUGACGCUGAGGAGCGAAAGCCGGGGGCGCGAACGGGAUUAGAGACCCCAGUAGUCCCUGUCUCUUAUAC